Canis lupus familiaris (dog) is the source of this 956-nucleotide long non-coding RNA. RefSeq lists it as uncharacterized. The transcript has 5 exons. The record is from RefSeq and is a predicted model, not a curated record. NCBI's taxonomy places the organism in Eukaryota, Metazoa, Chordata, Mammalia, Carnivora, Canidae.
AGAAAGAGAGAGAGGCAGAGACACAGGCAGAGGAAGAAGGAGGCUGCAUGCUGGGAGCCUAACAUGGACUCGAUUCCGGGUCUCCAAGAUCACACCCAGCGCUAAACCUGCUGAGCCACCCAGGCUACAAAACUAUUCUUAAGUUCUUUAAUUCCUGAAACCUGCAUCUUACAUUUCUACUUCUCCUCUCCUGUUUUACUGGAGCUCCUGUCUCACAGCAUGAAAAAUACUAUGCCAAGGGUGAGUCCCUGUUCUCACGUGAAGUUGCAGAUAUGGGUGGAGGAAGAUGUGUUUCCCAUAAGCCAACCUAAUAUGUGCUCAGCAUGAUCAUUGAGUGCUGGAAAAUUCAGUGUUCAAUUAGUUCACCAUUAUGUGAAAGAAGAUGGAAAGUAAACCAACAAUCUAAAGAUCAAGUGUCAAAGGCUGUGACAGCAAUGUAUGCCAGGAGCUCAAAGGGUGUGAUCACAUUUUUUUCUCCUUCCUGUAAGAAGUAUGGAAAUAAGUUGUCAUAUUUAUAAUAGUUUUUAACAGCAAUAUAUGUGGUCAAUAAAGGGAUCCUCUAGAAAUCUCUCCUAAAUACCAGAUUCAAAUAAGGAAACAUAAACCUGUUUGUAAUAUGUAAGCAUGUUGCAAAUUUGAAGGAUUAUUUAAAGAAAAAUUGACUCAUCACCUCUUGUUCACAACUGAAAAUGGAAACACAGACCUUUUAUUUUUUCACCCAACAUUCGGAGAGCCUAGAUUUCAUGCUGCAGCUGUCUAGAUUCAAAAAUCUACAACAGCAAUGGUGAUUCAACUUACUUGACAUUUUUGGAAUUCUAAUUUCCUCACUGCUGCUUCCAUCUCCACCAUCGCUAACUGUUCUUAUUUCAAUCAAGUAGUCUUCUUCAAAUGGAACAAGAAGCUCAGCCGAUGUAUUGUUUGUUUCCAAAAUAUGUGUUUUACUCUGUCUGUUUUGC